AGCCGACAGGUCCUGUCCCACAUCCGCAACCUGCAAACCAACCUCAACCACCUCAAGGAGGUAGAGGCCAAGUAUCACAGUCUACUACGCCAAAGGCCGGCCAGGUCAUCGACAGACAUCGACGAUAACAAAGAUAAGAGAUAGUCACGGAAAUCCCACCCCUCCCCUCCCCGGCCCCUGCAUCAGGCCGUAAGGGAGGACGUGAAGAUGGAAGAGUUGAUUUCUGCCUCCCUGCUGUCUCGUUGACCUGGAUGUCCUCUAUUAGCUUGUCCACUCAACUGCUGAGUACCCUCUUCCUCCUCCCACCGUGGUUCUCCCCGAGAGACUGAGCAUGAGCGAGAGACAGUUGGAGGAAGGGUGGUUUCUUUGGAUCUCUCCCCCCCCCUGCUCCAUCCGUCAGCACAAGGCAAUCAGGGAAGAGGGACUGUCCCGAACCUAGCCCCGCCUUCCCCCUGGCCCUGCACCCCCUCCUGCUGCGUGUCCCCACUCCAAUGGCGGUGGGUCGCCCAGUGUCUCCCCUCCUUUCUCUCUACUCCUAGUCAUCCCUGCAAGAAAGAGAACUAUACCAAAAUGUACAAAGCUGUGUGUUUAGGAUAUAUAUUAUACACAAAAAAAAA
Molecule: non-coding RNA, 617 nt
Organism: Salvelinus sp. IW2-2015
Lineage: Eukaryota; Metazoa; Chordata; Actinopteri; Salmoniformes; Salmonidae
Source: RefSeq, a predicted model, not a curated record